This 256-nucleotide ribosomal RNA is filed under the name uncultured Streptococcus sp. Its description in RNAcentral is "partial 16S ribosomal RNA". It matches the Rfam family "Bacterial small subunit ribosomal RNA", at positions 1128 to 1382 of the family's 1533-position model. Lineage: Bacteria; Bacillati; Bacillota; Bacilli; Lactobacillales; Streptococcaceae. The record is from RNAcentral.
CAGUUGGGCACUCUAGCGAGACUGCCGGUAAUAAACCGGAGGAAGGUGGGAUGACGUCAAAUCAUCAUGCCCCUUACUGACCUGGGCUACACACGUGCUACAAUGGUUGGUACAACGAGUUGCGAGUCGGUGACGGCGAGCUAAUCUCUUAAAGCCAAUCUCAGUUCGGAUUGUAGGCUGCAACUCGCCUACCAUGAAGUCGGAAUCGCUAGUAAUCGCGGAUCAGCACGCCGCGGUGAAUACGUUCCCGGGCCUU